This 497-nucleotide ribosomal RNA is filed under the name uncultured bacterium. RNAcentral's name for it is "partial 16S ribosomal RNA". It matches the Rfam family "Bacterial small subunit ribosomal RNA", at positions 28 to 507 of the family's 1533-position model. The record is from RNAcentral.
GAUGAACGCUGGCGGCGUGCCUAAUACAUGCAAGUCGAGCGAACAGACGAGGAGCUUGCUCCUCUGACGUUAGCGGCGGACGGGUGAGUAACACGUGGAUAACCUACCUAUAAGACUGGGAUAACUUCGGGAAACCGGAGCUAAUACCGGAUAAUAUAUUGAACCGCAUGGUUCAGUAGUGAAAGACGGUUUUGCUGUCACUUAUAGAUGGAUCCGCGCCGCAUUGGCUAGUUGGUAAGGUAACGGCUUACCAAGGCAACGAUGCGUAGCCGACCUGAGAGGGUGAUCGGCCACACUGGAACUGAGACACGGUCCAGACUCCUACGGGAGGCAGCAGUAGGGAAUCUUCCGCAAUGGGCGAAAGCCUGACGGAGCAACGCCGCGUGAGUGAUGAAGGUCUUCGGAUCGUAAAACUCUGUUAUUAGGGAAGAACAAAUGUGUAAGUAACUAUGCACGUCUUGACGGUACCUAAUCAGAAAGCCACGGCUAACUACGUG